UGCGUAGGCUGCCUAUUAAGUUGGAUGUGAAAGCCCUCGGCUUAACCGAGGAACUGCGUCCAAAACUGGUGGGCUUGGGGUUGGUAGGGGACAGUGGAACUCCAGGUGGAGCGGUGAAAUGCGUAGAGAUCUGGAGGAACUCCGGUGGCGAAAGCGACUGUCUGGGCCAUACCCGACGCUGAGGCACGAAAGCCAGGGGAGCAAACGGGAUUAGAUACCCCGGUAGUCCUGGCCGUAAACGAUGGACACUAGCUUGGGGAGCCUUCGGGCCUCCCUUGCGAAGCUAACGCGUUAAGUGUCCCGCCUGGGGAGUAUGCGCGCAAGCGUAAA
This 330-nucleotide ribosomal RNA is filed under the name uncultured Planctomycetota bacterium. Its description in RNAcentral is "bacterial SSU rRNA". It matches the Rfam family "Bacterial small subunit ribosomal RNA", at positions 568 to 898 of the family's 1533-position model. Lineage: Bacteria; Pseudomonadati; Planctomycetota. The record is from RNAcentral.